Molecule: long non-coding RNA, 609 nt
Filed under: Homo sapiens (human)
Lineage: Eukaryota; Metazoa; Chordata; Mammalia; Primates; Hominidae
Description: LHRI_LNC850.1
Source: RNAcentral
GUUCUCUGAAGGACCAUUCCAGCUGCAGAAGUACUUCUGAAUGGGUGAAGAAAGGGCACUAAAAUGUACCAAAAGAUUUUGGGCCCAAGUGACAUCCAGACCAUUUUUCUUUUCUAUUAAAGUAAACUGAAGUUUAGAUAAGGGCUAGAUUAAAUUCAAGGAAACUCCUGAUAACCAUGUUAAGAUCAACCACAGUAGGCUGAGUUUUACUGAAACCUUGGUCCUCUUAAGCUACUACAUACUGAUUCUAUUAUAAGUACAUUUUGAUUCUCCCCAGAAACUAAAAAUACUUAAAAAAAAAAAAAAAAAGAAAAAAAGAGGGAACCACCACGGGUGCAUCACAUAUAUGGAAAUACCUAUCCGCCAACCAGGAGCGGUAUUAGUGCACUCCAGAUGCAGCCGAACUCCACCAUCCAGGCUGCCAAAGGGGAGACAGAGAAAAGGGGGAUUAAACAAGAAAUACCCAGUUUAUGUAAUUCACACACAAAUCCAGGAAGCACAUAAAAGUAAGAUAACCACUUACCUUCACAAAACACAGGGGGAGAAAUGCAACAUAGUAGGCACUGAAGAGGGAGUUGAAGAGAACCUCCUUGAUUCUGUGGUUGAAAU